Molecule: long non-coding RNA, 858 nt
Organism: Brachypodium distachyon (stiff brome)
Lineage: Eukaryota; Viridiplantae; Streptophyta; Magnoliopsida; Poales; Poaceae
Exons: 2
Source: RefSeq, a predicted model, not a curated record
UCUAUUAUCCCCCUGGCCUAUAAAGAGUACACAUAGAUCGGAUCUGAUCUAAUCUGAUCUCGAUUGCUCGCACACAUACGAAGAGACGGUUAGAUCGAUCGGCCGAAUUUCGAUAUGGGAUCCUUCUUCUCUUCUCCUGUGGCCGUGGAGGAGCAGGUCCCCAAAGCUCAUGAAUGGGGCCUGCAAGGUUGCACGACUGAAGAACUCAUAGACAUCCUCCGCCGAGAGUUCAAGUGUCCUCCAGAUGCGGUGAUGAUGAGGCCCCCCUGCCCAUGUGCGGGUUUCUGCAACCAGAUUUCUCGUAACACCUCAUCGUCGUCAUCUCAUUUUCCUUCUGAGAUUGGACCUGUCGCCAUAGCUGCGCUUCGAUCAAUGUCGAAGCCACCCACUAAACUGAACGUCGUUCAAUCCGUAGAUUUGGUGUAAUUUUCUGGAUCAUUUGUUAGAGAUAUAUGUACCUACUCGGCUACUCCCUCUGAUAUAUUCGAGAACAUUCAUUUUGUACUUUUUUUUAAACUUGGUUCAUAUAUAGGUUUAAAACAACAAGUUUGUACAUGAGCACAAAUUACAAACGGAAGGAUUUGAGGCCAUUGAUUGACGAAGAAAAAAGAAUCUUGAACAUGAAGCUCAAGAAAGGCAAAGGCUAUGACCACCCCACCGAUGGUGCUGUUGUCCAAGGUGUGUGUGUGGCAAGGACAACAUAGUGACAGAUCAAUACCAAAGGACUCACAUUUGACAAUUCGUAACAUAGCCCGAAAGCAUAUCGAAGAAUUUUCCAGCUAAACCUAGAGAUAUGGAACCCGUACCAAAAAAGCGAAAUUCAUAAGAUAUAAUUGGAUAUAAUUGCCUCCUAGAUCA